AGAGUUUGAUCCUGGCUCAGAAUCAACGCUGGCGGCGUGCCUAACACAUGCAAGUCGCCCGAGAAAGCGGGAGCAAUCCUGUGAGUAAAGUGGCGUACGGGUGAGUAACACGUGAAUCAUCUACCUUCGAGUGUGGAAUAACUGAGAGAAAUCUUAGCUAAUACCGCAUAAUGCCUACGGGCCAAAGCAGCAAUGCGCUUGAAGAGGAGUUCGCGGCAGAUUAGUUAGUUGGCGGGGUAAUGGCCCACCAAGACGAUGAUCUGUAUCCGGCCUGAGAGGGCGCACGGACACACUGGAACUGAAACACGGUCCAGACUCCUACGGGAGGCAGCAGUGGGGAAUUUUGCGCAAUGGGGGAAACCCUGACGCAGCAACGCCGCGUGGAGGAUGAAAUCCCUUGGGAUGUAAACUCCUUUCGAUAGGGAAAAUAAUGACGGUACCUA
This 443-nucleotide ribosomal RNA is filed under the name uncultured bacterium. RNAcentral's name for it is "bacterial SSU rRNA". It matches the Rfam family "Bacterial small subunit ribosomal RNA", at positions 8 to 481 of the family's 1533-position model. The record is from RNAcentral.